Molecule: unclassified non-coding RNA, 220 nt
Filed under: Hevea brasiliensis (rubber tree)
Lineage: Eukaryota; Viridiplantae; Streptophyta; Magnoliopsida; Malpighiales; Euphorbiaceae
Source: RNAcentral
AAGAAGAGGCAAAAGAGACCAAAGUAGCAAUUUUCGGUAAAGAAUUACUCACGGUGCAUACGAUGGAUGCUUCCGCCGCAGCGCGGCCACCUUUGGCUACCCACUUGCAACCAUCACAUUCUCAGGUAUAUAUAACUGCCGACAAUCUCCGCACGUUCUCCGACUCCCUCACGGCUUUCCAACAAUGCUUGAAUGAUCUGCAACGACACAUGAAUUCAAU